Non-coding RNA from Rattus norvegicus (Norway rat), 319 nucleotides. Lineage: Eukaryota; Metazoa; Chordata; Mammalia; Rodentia; Muridae. The record is from RefSeq and is a predicted model, not a curated record.
AUGUGGGCUGUACCCAGCAAUCAUUGUUCCAUUUCAGCUCUAACCUCAAAGAGUACCAUUGUGAGGUCAUUGACCUUCCAACUUACACUUCCUGUCCUUACAGGGAAUGCUUUUGCUGUUGGUUGGAGAGUACUUGGAUUUCUGGGCUCGUGAGCCACAGCAUAUGGUUCUUCAUGAAUUGUUGAGUCUGAACAUAGUUUCAUGGUACAGGCUCUUCUGGAGCACAUGCUGGCCUCACCAUCACUAUAUAGCCAAAGUUGGCUUGAAUGUUGCUCAUCAUGCUGCCACUUUCAAAAAUUUUAUAAUUAGUAUGGGCUCA